GACGAACGCUGGCGGCGUGCUUAACACAUGCAAGUCGAACGGAAAGGCCCUGCUUUUGUGGGGUGCUCGAGUGGCGAACGGGUGAGUAACACGUGAGUAACCUGCCCUUGACUUUGGGAUAACUUCAGGAAACUGGGGCUAAUACCGGAUAGGAGCUCCUGCUGCAUGGUGGGGGUUGGAAAGUUUCGGCGGUUGGGGAUGGACUCGCGGCUUAUCAGCUUGUUGGUGGGGUAGUGGCUUACCAAGGCUUUGACGGGUAGCCGGCCUGAGAGGGUGACCGGCCACAUUGGGACUGAGAUACGGCCCAGACUCCUACGGGAGGCAACAGUGGAGAAUAUUGCACAAUGGGCGGAAGCCUGAUGCAACAACGCCGCGUGCGGGAUGACGGCCUUCGGGUUGUAAACCGCUUUCGCCUGUGACGAAGCGUGAGUGACGGUAAUGGGUAAAGAAGCACCGGCUAACUACGUG
Molecule: ribosomal RNA, 468 nt
Filed under: uncultured bacterium
Lineage: Bacteria
Description: partial 16S ribosomal RNA
Rfam family: Bacterial small subunit ribosomal RNA
Source: RNAcentral